CAAAAGCGUAUAUUAAAGUUGUUGCAGUUAAAAAGCUCGUAGUUGAACCUUGGGCUUGGCUGGCCGGUCCAUCUUUUUUGAUGCGUACUGGACCCAGCCGAGCCUUUCCUUCUGGCUAGCCUUUUGGCAAACCAGGACUUUUACUUUGAAAAAAUUAGAGUGUUCAAAGCAGGCCUUUGCUCGAAUAUAUUAGCAUGGAAUAAUAGAAUAGGACGUUAUGGUUCUAUUUUGUUGGUUUCUAGGACCAUCGUAAUGAUUAAUAGGGACGGUCGGGGGUAUCAGUAUUCAGUUGUCAGAGGUGAAAUUCUUGGAUUUACUGAAGACUAACUACUGCGAAAGCAUUUACCAAGGACGUUUUCAUUAA
Molecule: ribosomal RNA, 364 nt
Filed under: uncultured eukaryote
Lineage: Eukaryota
Description: partial 18S ribosomal RNA
Rfam family: Eukaryotic small subunit ribosomal RNA
Source: RNAcentral